GCAAAAGAUUUACUAUAAGUUCUGCGUAAUAAACCACGCUUCAUUAAUGCUGCGGCAGACAGAAUCGUCGCGACGCAAGGAAUACUACGCAGCGAAGUUGCUUCGGCAGGGUUAUCUUAUCGCGAGCGAUCUUCGCUAAUGCAUUCAUCGUGUCGUGACACGUCGACACGGAAAAUGAACCCCGAAGCGGCCGUGCGUUAAAUCCAUAAAAAUCCAUAAAAAUCGUAGUCCCCUGCAGGACAUACGCGAGCAGCAGCAAGGAUGAAAGAAAUCGAACGGAUCGAGUGCUCGGUUGUGAACCCAUCAUUGAAACUGAUCGCUCUACGCGGGAGGUAUGCCGCUCCUUGCAUCUUAUUCAUGAAUGAUCAUCUACUUCUGAACACCGCGCGUCUUCAAUAGCCCACCUGUGGGCUCGAAAUAACACUGUGAAAUCGUAUUCAAGUCCCAGGAGAGAAAAGAGCAUGGUUCCCUUCGAGUCCUUCAUUCACUGUCUUGCUGAUCUCGUACCAUCUGGUCCUCCACCUGUGCCCAGCCAACUGUUUCUUUGCCAGUGCAACCAGAGCAAGUCCGGUUUCAAUCUCGGACCUCUUUCAGCAUUUUAUCUCACAACGACAAGGUAAGGUAGCGAGUAAGGUAAUAUCGG
Temnothorax curvispinosus is the source of this 643-nucleotide long non-coding RNA. RefSeq lists it as uncharacterized. The transcript is spliced from 4 exons. The record is from RefSeq and is a predicted model, not a curated record. Lineage: Eukaryota; Metazoa; Arthropoda; Insecta; Hymenoptera; Formicidae.